Molecule: ribosomal RNA, 468 nt
Filed under: uncultured bacterium
Lineage: Bacteria
Description: partial 16S ribosomal RNA
Rfam family: Bacterial small subunit ribosomal RNA
Source: RNAcentral
GACGAACGCUGGCGGCGUGCUUAAUACAUGCAAGUCGAACGGUAAGGCGCGGCGUUUGUGGGGUGCUCGAGUGGCGAACGGGGGAGUAACACGUGAGUGACCUGCCCCUGACUGUGGGGGAACUUUAGGGGACAGGGGCGAAUAUCGGGUAGGAGCUCCGGCGGCAUGUGUGGGGUUUGAGAGAUGCGGCGUUUGGGGAUGAACUCGAGGCUUAUCAGCUUGUUGGUGGGGUAGUGGCGUACCCAGGCUUUGACGGGUAGCCGGCCUGAGAGGGUGACCGGCCACAUUGGGCCUGGGGUAGCGCCCAGACUCAUACGGGAGCAAGCAGUGGGGCACAGUGCACGAUGGGCGGAAGCCUGAUGCAGCAACUUCGCGUGCGGGAUGACGGUCUUCGGGUUGUAAACCGUUUUCGCCUGUGACGAGGCGUGAGUGACGGUAAUGGGUAAAGAAGCACCGGCUAACUACGUG